GACGAACCGUGCAAACGUUAUUCGGAAUCACUGGGCAUAAAGGGCGCGUAGGCGGCUUUCUAAGUCAGGGGUGAAAUCCGGCAGCUCAACUGUCGCAGUGCCUUUGAUACUGGAAAGCUCGAGGGAGGUAGGGGUCUGUGGAACUUCCGGUGUAGCGGUGAAAUGCGUAGAUAUCAGAAGGAACAUCAGUGGCGAAAGCGACCUCCUGGACCAAUACUGACACUCAAGUGCGAAAGCGUGGGGAGCAAACAGG
RNAcentral lists this ribosomal RNA (253 nucleotides) under uncultured prokaryote. RNAcentral describes it as "partial 16S ribosomal RNA". It matches the Rfam family "Bacterial small subunit ribosomal RNA", at positions 524 to 776 of the family's 1533-position model. The record is from RNAcentral.